This is a long non-coding RNA of Vicia villosa (hairy vetch), 5571 nucleotides long. RefSeq lists it as uncharacterized. The record is from RefSeq and is a predicted model, not a curated record. The transcript has 13 exons. Lineage: Eukaryota; Viridiplantae; Streptophyta; Magnoliopsida; Fabales; Fabaceae.
UCUACCAUUUGAGCAAUUCUUAGCCUAUCCACAUCAGCAUCUGUUCCAUGGUAAUUCCACAUCAGCUUUGGCGGUUAAGCAUGAUUUUCUGAUCAUUCAUCUGCAUGGUGGGCUGCCGGCAGUUAUUGCUGUGGGAGUUUCACCCUCCCAGCUUCUAUUAUUCAAUUUCCACUAUUCUCAUAACUGUCCUUAAUCCCACACUCUUCCAAAUUCCAAAACCGUUCAAAAAAUGUUAGUGCAGCCCAUUCUUCUUCUUCUUUCACGAUCCAUUUUCUCCAAAUUCCUUUCACUUUGCCUCACACAAUUGAGAUUCUUCCUAUUCUGAAGACAAAGAAGCAACCUAUCCUGUUCACGGCGGUGUUGCUUGAGGUUCGUCAAUGAUGGAUAACUUCACGUAUGUUGUCUGCGGCUGUGUCAAUCUUGGCCGGAAGGGUGAUGCUCGCGGUGAUUGGUUUUGCUUUCUGAUGACCCUUCACAGUGGUUGGGUUUGAUUAAACGGGGAAUCUUUCACAUAUUGGAUUGGGUUUACAUUGUAAUUGCUCACAUAAUCUCUGGUAUUGGAAUCGUGGGUGGACUAAAUUGUAAGGUACUACUGUGGCUACUGCGAUACCAACGUGUUUCCGUCAACGACUGUGGUGGUGGGAUUUAUGGUGUCAUGGCUGUUGCAGGGAGUUUUAUAUGUUCGAUUACCAUAAUUGACUCUCUUGGAGGUUUUCAUCUUCUAAUAGAUGUUGUUCUUUAAGAACUUGGAUAUGUCGUUCCUCCAAUUAUGUACAGGUUUGUGCAAUACAGUGUGACUCUGCAACGUUAUUUCAAUCACCUUCGCGAACUCCACUGUGAAUAAUAUUCAUCAUCAUCAUCAACAACCUCUACAACACCCCCAACAAUAACUCGGCGACAACAAGAACACAAUUCUACUGCAUCACGUAAAAAUGUGGCGUCACUUCGAGUUCACGCAUCGAAAGAAACGAACAUGGAUGGAUCUAACUCAAGGUAUGGAAUUCAUAAACCCCAAUCCAUAAUUUUUUUCUGUCUCUCUUUCUCACUCGAUUCUUUUCUCUCUUUCACUAAUUUGCUGUCGGCGGUGCAGUUUCUAAUGAUUUGUAUGUGUUGGUUAUGGCGAACGACGGGCUUUCUGAAAAUCUGAACAGUUAUAGGUGUUGUGUUUAUUGGAAUUGAAAUUAUGGAACCACGACGUAUGAUGGGAACAAUGGAGAGAUUUAUGUUGGCACUGGAAAAUCAGAAUCUAAGAGGAGAAUCAGUGUUGGGUUCAAUCAAAACUCUAAAGUAUUCUUGCAUAUUUUCUUGAAUGGUUAUUUACUUCUUGAUUGAUUUUUUUUGUGUUUGAAUGAAUAUUAUUAUGCAACGUGCAUCUUAACCCGUGCCUUAACCCGUACGGUGGUUUUAAGCGUCGUCGCAUCAAUGAGAUAAUAGUUCAAGCUCAAGGAGAGCACACCUUCGUUCACUAUUCUUUGUUUGUUACUUGAAAAAAAACUAUUCCAUAUUGCAGAUGAUGGAAAGUUAGACACUGAGUUAAAUUCAGGUGAAUUUUGGGUCCUCUUUGGUGGUUUUGCUCCCAUUGCAAAAAAAGGUAAUCAGUGAGGAUGAUAUCAUUACAGAGACAAUCCCUACUCAGCUGUAUCGGUAUGUUGAUUUUGUUUUCCAAUUUUCCUAAACCUUUCCCUACCACCACUUUCAAUUUUCCUUGAUAUUCUUUCCAAAGAAUGUAAAAAAGAAAACCAACUCAUUUUCCUAUCUAUAUGAAUGCAAGAAAAAGCAAGGAUAAAUAAAUUUGCAUUCAUUUUUGUGUGGCAGUGAUAGUUCUCAACACAGAUUAGAAGGGCUGAAUUGAAUCUGAAUGGAAUCGUCCCUGUUUCUAUGGUUGUGAUUCUUCAGGACUUCAAGUGGUACGAUUUUGUCCUCAAAUUACAUAAAAUUUAUAAUGGAACACAAACACAUCUCUCGAUGAUUUUGUGUAAACCAUUGGGAACUUCGAAGCUACUGAUGUUGCCAAUGCAGUUCUGGAUGGAACAGACUGUGUGAUGCUUAGUGGUGAGAUAGCUGCUGGAGUUUAUCCAGAACAAGUGAAUGUCUCAGUGCUGUGACUAAAAUGAAAUCGGAGAAGAAACCGAAAACCGAAGCAUGUUUGCGAAAUAGCAGAAUUUUCUGAUGCAGAGAUUAUUCAUUUUAAUAUGCAGAUAUGCACAAGUUGUAAUGAUGGAUAGACUAUGAUUCGAUUUGCGAUCAUUUUUUGCGGAGGAUGGAAUUGGAGGAAGAAGUGAGGAGGGAAAAUGCAAUCGAGAGAGAAUUGGGGAUUUCAAUACAAAGGCCGCUGAAUAUUCAGGGACUAAUGUCGCAGUGGUAAAAUUCAAUACUGAUGAACCCUGUUGCUGUUGGCCAUAUUGGUGCGUCGUAACCACAAACUGAUAUUUAUUGAUAAAAAUGUAUGGAUUUUUUGGGAAGAAAAUCAAAGAUUUAUUCGGAAACAUUUUUUGGUAUGAAUUAGUCGAUGUUAAGAAGCCGCGAGAUCAUGGAGUACCUUAUUCACUUACCGAAGGACUCACAAGUGUUUACAGAAUGCAUACGCUCCUACCUGAGGAGAUUGUUCUUCGAAAACUCAAGCCUGACUGAUACAGUGCAAGGAGAGGAAGAGUGUAUCUACCACAACAUGAGUUGGCUCUGGCAGGGCUUUCAGAUGACGAUAUAUUUGCUGCUCUAGGAAAUUCCGCUCUGGCAUCAAGUCCUCCAGUUGGUGAGAGGAAAUUGUUCUCAUAUAUCACACUUGGCUUGGUUUUGCUGCUCCUCAUGAUUCUCCAUGCUUUCAAGAUCAAGAAACUAGAAAUCUACACAAUAACAAUUUGAUUGCUGAUUCUUCUGGUACAUCAGGUAUUAUAUGAUUUUGCAAUUUCUUUUCAAUUAUACUAUAUCUUUAUGUGAAGAAUACUCUCAAUUUAUUCACUGCAUAAGCAAUGUCAAGUAUGGAAAUGGUUAAAUACAUAAACCUGUCAAUCAAUCUUCUAUAAUCUGAAACAUCAGUCAAAACCUUAUCAGUUGUAUCAGGGAGAGAAACACCAGGAUUCAUUGGCAUAACUACAAAUUUUGAAGCCAAAUGUUAUGUAUCUUCUAACUGUUGUAGCGUGUAUUUUCGAUGGCACGACUGAAUACCCUAACUAGACUCUGCAAUCUCCAAACCAGUAGCGUGUAUUUUCGACGACACGACUGAAUGAUACAAUGAGCGUAUUGGUCAAGCCAGCCAAGAGAUUUUCCUAAUCCCGACACAAACUUUGAUGGAUGAGUGGUUACACAAUUAGAUAAUUUUAGAGUUACAGAGUCGGCACAGAGAAUUACUCUUUAAAAUCAUGUGUUCAGCUGUUCAUAUAAAAGUAUGAAAUAGGGACAUCAAUUUGAGCUGUUGUUGUUGAUCAUAAUCAGAUAACAUGUCAAAUUCAUCCAUAUGAUUAUCUCUGACAUUGAGUGAAGAUCUCAAACGACUGGGCUGGAGAUUACUUCCCCGAAGAUCUGAACCAGUUCUGAAUUAUGGUCUGAGCAAGCCGAUGAAACUGUUCUGGAUUCUCGAGUUUGGAAAAUGUUCUUCCUCGCGAUUUUGACAACACUGAUUGUUAUGUUGUGAAAUGUGGCUUUGACAAUGAUGCUUAUGUUCUUACUUCGUUGGCUUCUCUAUAUGCAAAGCAAGGGUUCACAUAUAUGGCAAAACAGAUUUACAAAUACUAUCCCACAAAAGAGUUGAUUACGUUAACAGCUAUAAUCUCUAGCUGUUCUGAAAAUGUGAUAUAGAGUCUGCGAUGGAGUGUUUUAUCCAAACUAUGAAGUUAGAUAUAAAACCAGAUGCAAUUGCAAUGCAUUGAUAGGUGUCCUUCAUGGAAUUACAUGUCCUUCACAUUUUUCUAUUGGAUGUGCUUUCCACGGUUAUGGUAUAAAGAGCGGGUUGUCUAAUGAUUAUUUAGUUGAAAAUGGGCUAAUAAGUUUGUAUUCUAGAUUUGACGAGAUAGAAACAGUUUGACUUUGUUUUACAAUAAGAGAAAAGCCACAAAUCACAUGGAAUUCUAUGAUAUCAGGUUGUCUGUUUGCAAGCUGGAAAGUCAAGUGAUGCCAUGGAGUUGUUCUCCAAAACGAACAUGCAUGGACAAAAACCAGAUACCAUUAAGUGUUACCAGUCUACUAAACGGGUGUUGCCUGCUUUUAUUACUAAGAGUCAUUUGUUUGUGGUAGAAAAUAGUUUUAAAAGCUAAUAAGUUUAUAUUUGAGUUAACGCAUUUAUAAGUAAUAAUUUUUUUUCUAGAUGUCUCUAAUCCAAAAGCCAUGUAUGAAUUGAAGCAGCCUGCAAGUCGAUUACAUGGUCCAUCUUUUUCAGUGAAAAACAUCUGAUCUCAGUGAUGUAUUACAGAAAUUUCUCAAUGCCUGUUACAGUUUACUGAAUGCUAAGGCUGAUCAUGGAAAUUUUGGCAUAUAACUAACUACAACCUUGGAAUGGAUUAUCAAUCAUUGUUUUUCAAUUCAUGAUGUUUCAAGUAUGGAGGAUAAAAUUAAAAAACAAUUUGAUUGGGAUGAGACGCGGAGUGAAAAUGAAUCUGAAAUUGGAACAGUCACAGAUACGAAACGAUUUCAGGAAUUAGAGAAAACUAUUGCCAGCUUGAGAUUUGAGUUACAAACGUUAAAGGAGUCCAAUAAAAGACUUGAAGAUCGAAUACAAAACGAAAGAUCCUUAAAUAGAGAUCAUGACACCGAGCUUACAGAAACCGAACUAAAUGAGGCUUAUCACAAGAUUUUGGAAUUAGAGGUGGAACUGGACAAAGAAUCUCUAUUGUGAAGAAUUAGACACAAAAUUUGUUCAACUUUAGCUUCAGCUUGAAAGGAAAAUCGAACUCUAUUGCAAUAUUGUUUUGAGGUUUGUUUACAAAUCCUCUAGGAAUGGGAGAUAACAGCAGCUUCAGAGAAGUUAGCAGUGUCAAGAAACCAUCCUUAUCCUUGAGAAGAAGUUGAAGGUAUUGGCUGCGAAAAAGGAUAUGUCCCUUUUCGACAACAUUAUUGCGGCUCAUCGUCGUCCUAUAAUCACAAAUACAUCCAGUGUUAGUCUUUCCGGUAAAGACACGAAGAUGUAAAACCGGCCGUCUCUUUUGGAUCAAAUGCUUGCUGAUGAUGAUGCAAAAUCUAAGGUUUGAAAAGCAAGUGAAAAAGGCUUUAAGCAGUCGCUCGAAAAGAUUGUAGUUUUGACAGGAGUUAGAGGUAAUGAUGACAGUGUUAAUGUCAAUUCUUUGGCCAUUUUACCUGCCAAGAAAUCUGGACGACGAAGCUUCUGGAAAAGGAUGUUAAGGACGAGAAAAAAGCCGAAAAGAGAACAAGUGUAUCAGUUUAACAAGUGAGGUGAAUAUUGAAUGUAGUUGAGUACUCUCUGUUUUAUUUGUUGCAGUUUAAAUAAAUUUAUUAUCUUAUUAAAUAGCAUAUGUAAUUAAUUUAAAUAAUUAUAUUAAAGGAAACCAAUCUGUAUAUUUAAUACUCACAUAUUCUACCAUCACUAUAACCACAAAUUAAUGAUAUGUGUGAUUUUUUUUU